RNAcentral lists this ribosomal RNA (407 nucleotides) under uncultured beta proteobacterium. RNAcentral describes it as "bacterial SSU rRNA". It matches the Rfam family "Bacterial small subunit ribosomal RNA", at positions 9 to 416 of the family's 1533-position model. Lineage: Bacteria; Pseudomonadati; Pseudomonadota; Betaproteobacteria. The record is from RNAcentral.
GAGUUUGAUCUUGGCUCAGAUUGAACGCUGGCGGCAUGCCUUACACAUGCAAGUCGAGCGGCAGCGCGGGGGCAACCCUGGCGGCGAGCGGCGCACGGGUGAGUAAUGCAUCGGAACGUGUCCUCUUGUGGGGGAUAACCAGUCGAAAGACUGGCUAAUACCGCAUGAGAUCGCAAGAUGAAAGCAGGGGACCCGCAAGGGCCUUGCGCGAGAGGAGCGGCCGAUGCCCGAUUAGCUAGUUGGCGGGGUAACGGCCCACCAAGGCGACGAUCGGUAGCUGGUCUGAGAGGACGACCAGCCACACUGGGACUGAGACACGGCCCAGACUCCUACGGGAGGCAGCAGUGGGGAAUUUUGGACAAUGGGGGCAACCCUGAUCCAGCCAUGCCGCGUGUGUGAAGAAGGCC